RNAcentral lists this unclassified non-coding RNA (212 nucleotides) under Hevea brasiliensis (rubber tree). The record is from RNAcentral. Lineage: Eukaryota; Viridiplantae; Streptophyta; Magnoliopsida; Malpighiales; Euphorbiaceae.
GUUAUUUAAGGGAAGUGAAGUUGGUGGAUCCUGCAAUCUCUCUUGCACAAACUUAAAAAGUUUCUGUGGACCGGUGACGCCUUUGGGAGCGUUGUUGACGUUGGACUUGACAGCGAAUUUGGCGAGGUUCGACAGGAUCCAUCCAAACUUCUUGUCCUGUCGGUCUCGCUCUAUUUUAAUGGCGCUAGUCAUUUCGAUAAUGGAUGUGGGAC